Molecule: long non-coding RNA, 346 nt
Filed under: Panax ginseng (ginseng)
Lineage: Eukaryota; Viridiplantae; Streptophyta; Magnoliopsida; Apiales; Araliaceae
Description: long non-coding RNA (PGIN_LNC016386)
Source: RNAcentral
CUGAUCACCCUCUGUACCCGUAAGUCAUGACGGUUUACAGAUGAAUUUCUGUUUAAACCUUUUCGAAAAUGGAAAACAAUGUUCAUGGUAUGUCACAGAAACCCCAUAUACAGUCAAUACGUAGUUUCAAAAAUUUGAAUGAGGGUUGUUAUGUUAUUAUUAUUGGUACAGAUUACUUCACAACUACUGACUAGUUGUAGAAGAAUAUUAUUAAGAAAACAUUUAAAUUCUUUCAGCCUAUAUAUAUAUAUAUAAUACUUGUUGGGCACUCAAAUGCUCAUCCUUGCUUAAUUUAAAUGUUUUCAGCUAAGUGUGAAGGACCAGAAAGUUCAGGCCGAGACAAAGG